GGCCGGGUAGCUCAGUGGUAGAGCACCAUUCCUUUAAACUGGCGGUCGUGGGUUCAAUCCCCACCUCGGCCA
This 72-nucleotide transfer RNA is filed under the name archaeon. Its description in RNAcentral is "tRNA-Lys". It matches the Rfam family "tRNA". From Rfam's summary of the family: Transfer RNA (tRNA) molecules are approximately 80 nucleotides in length. Their secondary structure includes four short double-helical elements and three loops (D, anti-codon, and T loops). The record is from RNAcentral.